AUGUCCGACCACAUCGACCUCAACGCCGCCGCCGUCCCCCAAACCCUAGCCCCCGCCAAGCGCGGCCGCGGCCNNNNNNNNNNNNNNNNNNNNNNNNNNNNNNNNNNNNNNNNNNNNNNNNNGUCCCCCAGCAACGCCACUCCCCCGCCCCCCGCGGCGCCGGAUCCGGCCGCCCCACCCCAUGCCCUAGCCGGGUCUGGCUCCCCGGCCACCUUCGCCCCCAAGGACCUGGUCUGGGGCAAGAAGCUCUCCCACCCGUCCUGGCCGGGGGAGGUCCUCUCCGUCGCCUCCGGCGGCACCCAGCUCCUCGUCUCCUUCUUCGGCGAGAAGGCCCUCGCCUGGUGCGACGCGGCCCAGCUCAGGCCCUACGAGGCCUACUUCACCGUGGGGGAGCUCUACGACGGCGACGCCGACGACUUCGACGCCGCCGUCGACGCGUCCCUCGACGAGUUCUCCAGCCGCGUCCAGGCCGCCCUCACCGCCGCCGACGCCCCCGCCUCCCUCAGGCGCCCCUUUGUUCCGCGGGAUUUCCUCGCCUCGCUCCAGGAUUUGGCCGCCGACCGCAUGGGCUUCAGCAACCGGGUGCAGGCCGCCAUCACCAAGGCGCAUCUGAGGGCAUUUGAUGAGUUCAGGGGUCUGCCCGACCCCCCUGUGUACACCUUGGAGCUCGGGAUAGCGAAUGCUGAUGCUUUGGCUGCUCCUUCCCCCAUGGAUCGGGGCAGGAGGAGCGCAAGAGAGGUUAACUGUGACUCGUCGGCGACCCCACCAUCCCGGAGGGGGAGGAAGAGGAAGGAGGAGGUCCAGGAGGCCGAUUCCGAUGAGGACUGGGACCCGCGCAAGAAGGGUGCCAGUGACUCUGAUACUGAUGUGGACAUUGGGCGUAGGAGGGCCCGGAGGGGCAAGGGUAGCGGUAGCGCCGCACCACGCAGUGGCGGUACCGGGAGGCCACGUGGGAGGCCUAGGAAAACGGAUUCUGCUGCGAAGCCCUCACAGCCCGCAAAGGUGAAGGAUGAGGAGGUGGAAGAGAAAAUAGAGUAUCCAUCGGCCGCCGAAUUGUUGGUUCAACUUACAUCAGUUGCUUCUGAUCCAUUCAAUUUCAAGGGUUAUGAUUCUGUGGAUGUGAUCUUUAGCUUCUUCUCAAAACACAAGGACUCGAAAGCGCCGAGCGAGUUGGAUGAUAAAGAGCUGUUGGAGAUAUUUGGUGGUAAGAAAGGAAGGAAAAAGUCCGUUGGAAGUUUUACCAAGGCGAAACAUGAGAUUGAGGCAGAACAACUGGAGUUGGAGACGGCGGAUGGCCAGAGGGGCAGGAGGAAAUCCGCAGGGGGAAUCUACUCGGCUCGAAAGGCGGAAGAUUCUUACUGGUGUGAUAUUAUCAUCAGCGAUUUUGACGAUGGAGACACAUCAAGUGAUUAUGAAGGCCGCAAAAGGAAGCGGGUGUCUCAGAAUAGGAGUGGCAACAAGAAGACGAAGCAGGAGGCGGCGCCUCAGGAUGAGGCUUCUACUGAUCUUCCAGAUAAGAAACCAGCAGAUGGUCCAGCAGCUUUGAUUUUGUACUUUGGUAGUGCAGAUUCCAUUCCUUCAGUGGAUCGUAUCAACAACGUGUUCCGUGCUUAUGGAGCGAUCAUCGAGGGUCAGACUGAGAUCACCAGGAAGUCCAAGACUGCAAAAGUGGUCUUCUCCAACCAUGCUGAUGCGGAGCAAGCCUAUAGCACUUCAGGGAAGUACAAUGCUUUUGGUCCAGCGCUUCUCACAUAUGAAAUUAAAUACCUGCCAUCUGCUCCUCAAAUUCCUUAG
RNAcentral lists this ribosomal RNA (1794 nucleotides) under Triticum aestivum (bread wheat). RNAcentral describes it as "partial small subunit ribosomal RNA". The record is from RNAcentral. Lineage: Eukaryota; Viridiplantae; Streptophyta; Magnoliopsida; Poales; Poaceae.